AUUGAACGCUGGCGGCAUGCCUUACACAUGCAAGUCGAACGGUAACAGGUCUUCGGAUGCUGACGAGUGGCGAACGGGUGAGUAAUACAUCGGAACGUGCCUAGUAGUGGGGGAUAACUACUCGAAAGAGUGGCUAAUACCGCAUGAGAUCUACGGAUGAAAGCAGGGGAUCGCAAGACCUUGUGCUACUAGAGCGGCCGAUGGCAGAUUAGGUAGUUGGUGGGAUAAAAGCUUACCAAGCCGACGAUCUGUAGCUGGUCUGAGAGGACGAUCAGCCACACUGGGACUGAGAGACGGCCCAGACUCCUACGGGAGGCAGCAGUGGGGAAUUUUGGACAAUGGGCGAAAGCCUGAUCCAGCAAUGCCGCGUGCAGGAUGAAGGCCUUCGGGUUGUAAACUGCUUUUGUACGGAACGAAAAGCCCCGGGUUAAUACCCUGGGGUCAUGACGGUACCGUAAGAAUAAGCACCGGCUAACUACGUGCCAGCAGCCGCCGUAA
This 498-nucleotide ribosomal RNA is filed under the name uncultured bacterium. RNAcentral describes it as "partial 16S ribosomal RNA". It matches the Rfam family "Bacterial small subunit ribosomal RNA", at positions 30 to 523 of the family's 1533-position model. The record is from RNAcentral.